Long non-coding RNA from Ipomoea triloba (trilobed morning glory), 397 nucleotides. RefSeq lists it as uncharacterized. The record is from RefSeq and is a predicted model, not a curated record. The transcript has 3 exons. Lineage: Eukaryota; Viridiplantae; Streptophyta; Magnoliopsida; Solanales; Convolvulaceae.
GUGGUGAAGUUCAGAUUUCAAGUUCCUUUAAUGCCACUAGGUUAUUGUUUAAUCACAAGUGUCCAGAAUUUGCUGAUUUUGUUAAAAGCUUACCAUCUGUGUGCACUCCUAUCAGGUGAAUUCAAUCAGAAUCAAAGCUCUCUGUGUUAAAGAAUGAGCGUGGAUCUACAAGUACUAAGUUUGAGAUAUCUGAUUUCUGGAGUGCUGCAAAGAUCCUUGGGUGAUUGGGUUUGUACUACUUAUGUGUGGCUGUUUUGGUUUUAAGUGUAAAAUGUGUCUAAGUUUGUGUACUUACUGCUAUCCAAGUAAGCUAUUUUGUAAUCUUAGGCGUAUAUCUUAUGUAAUGCAGUUAAACUGUACCUAUAUGUAGCCUAUUUUGUAAAACACUUAUGUAUGC